GGGGGAGUACUUAGUAGUAGAGCGCUAGCGAAUUCGCCUUAGCCGUUGUAUUUUGUUUUCCAUAGCGAUCUACAUUCUUAUCACAGCGGUUGGUGAGUAGCGAAAGGCCCUGGGUUCGAUUCCCAGCUCCCCCA
This is a non-coding RNA of Schizothecium vesticola, 134 nucleotides long. The record is from the annotation of a GenBank genome assembly. Lineage: Eukaryota; Fungi; Ascomycota; Sordariomycetes; Sordariales; Schizotheciaceae.